UACAGAGGGUGCAAGCGUUGCUCGGAAUCAUUGGGCGUAAAGGGUAGGUAGGUGGUCUCGUUUGUCUGGGGUGAAAGCCCAGGGCUUAACCCUGGAAGUGCCCCGGAAACGGCGAGACUGGAGUAUUGGAGAGGGUCGUGGAAUUCCCGGUGUAGCGGUGAAAUGCGUAGAGAUCGGGAGGAACACCAGAGGCGAAGGCGGCGACCUGGACAAUUACUGACACUCAACUACGAAAGCGUGGGGAGCAAACAGG
Molecule: ribosomal RNA, 253 nt
Filed under: uncultured bacterium
Lineage: Bacteria
Description: partial 16S ribosomal RNA
Rfam family: Bacterial small subunit ribosomal RNA
Source: RNAcentral